Molecule: ribosomal RNA, 498 nt
Filed under: uncultured bacterium
Lineage: Bacteria
Description: partial 16S ribosomal RNA
Rfam family: Bacterial small subunit ribosomal RNA
Source: RNAcentral
AUUGAACGCUGGCGGAAUGCUUUACACAUGCAAGUCGAACGGCAGCACGGGGCAACCUGGUGGCGAGUGGCGAACGGGUGAGUAAUACAUCGGAACGUGCCCAGUCGUGGGGGAUAACGUAGCGAAAGUUACGCUAAUACCGCAUACGAUCUAAGGAUGAAAGCGGGGGAUCGCAAGACCUCGCGCGAUUGGAGCGGCCGAUGUCAGAUUAGGUAGUUGGUGGGGUAAAGGCUCACCAAGCCGACGUUCUGUAGCUGGUCUGAGAGGACGACCAGCCACACGGGGACUGAGACACGGCCCAGACUCCUACGGGAGGCAGCAGUGGGGAAUUUUGGACAAUGGGCGAAAGCCUGAUCCAGCCAUUCCGCGUGCAGGAUGAAGGCCUUCGGGUUGUAAACUGCUUUUGUACGGAACGAAAAGGCUCUGGUUAAUACCUGGGGCUCAUGACGGUACCGUAAGAAUAAGCACCGGCUAACUACGUGCCAGCAGCCGCCGUAA